GCCGGGAAGACGCCUGCGCUAGGAGCCCCUCACCCCACGCAGCCUGUACCACACCGUGUGAUAACUGUGAUUACUCCCCUGUAUUCUCCGCGAGACUGUGAAUGCCUUGAGGGCAGCUUCUGUGUCUCUCCUGGUGGGAAUUUCAUUUACACUAAAAUGUACUCAAUACUUUACUGACAACAUAUGUACAUUUAUAGAUUCACUUAACACCUAUCAAUCAAGGAAAAACAUCUUCUUUUUCGUCACUCAGAGAACUAAGAAACACUCCCAGGGGUUUCUACUCAGGAAGCCAGCACUUUCCACUGGCAGAGCACACUCUUCCCACCACAUCAUGCUGCCCAUGGGAUGAUCUCUAAGAAAGGAGACAGCAUGUGAUGGAGGACGAACCAGACCUGGGUUCAUCUCUGGGUUAUAUGCUUUUUUGGUUGUGUGAAACCAGGAAAAUUCGUGUAUUGGUCUGGGAUUUUUUUGUUUGUUUUUUUAAAGAAUUAACCUUUCUAGGGACUUCCCUGGUGGCUCAGUGGUUAAAAAUCCACCUGCCAAUGCAGGGGACACGGGUUCGAGGCCUGGUCUGGGAAGAUCACACAUGCCGCAGAGCAACUAAGCCCGUGUGCCACAACUACUGAGCCUGCGCUCCAGAGCCCGUGCGAACCACAACUACUGAGCCUGUGUGCCACAACUACUGAAGCCCACACGCCUAGAGCCGGUGCUCCGCAACAAGAGAAGCCACUGCAAUGAGAAGCCUGCGCACCGCAACAAAGAGGAGCCCACGCUUGCCACAACUAGGGAAAGCCCGCGCACAGCAACGAAGACCCAAAGCAGCCAAAAAUAAAUAAAUAAUUUUUUAAAAAGUUUUUAAAAAAUUAACCUUUCUAAUUUGAGAUAAUUCUAGAUUCACGUAGAGAUCUCAUAAACUUUUUUCCCAGUUUCCUCCAAUGAUAACAUUUUGCAAAACUAUAGUACAGUAUCACAACUGGGUGAUAUCACAUUGAUAAAGUCAAGCUACAGAACAGUUCUGUCACUACAAGUAUCCUUCAUGUUGCCAUUUCCUCCAUCGCUGACACCUGUUUGUGAAUAAAUUUUUCUGUGGGCAUAUGUGUUCAUUUCUUUUGCGUAAAUAUUGAGAAUUGGAACGGCUGGAUUGUAUGGUAAAUGUAUGUUUAAGUUUCUGAGGUACUGCCAUAUGUUUUUUCAAAAUGGCCAUACCAUUUGGCAUUCCCAUCAGAAAUAUGUGAGAGUUCCAGUUGCUCCAGAUCCAUGCAAGCACUUGGUACUGUCAACCUUUUAAAAAAAAUUGUAGUAAAAUUCACACAACACACCAUCUUAACCAGUUUUAAGUGGACAGUUCAGUGGUACUAAGUGCUUUCAGUGUUGUGCAACCAUCAUCACCAUAUAUCUCAGAACCUCUUCAUCUUGCAAAUGGACACUCUGUACCCAUUAAAGAAUAAUUUCCCCUUCUUUCCACCCACAGCCUCUGGCCACCACCCUUCUGCUUUCUCGGUGAUUUUGACUACUCUAUGUACCUUUCACAUUUUAGUUACUGUGAAUAACGCUACUAUGAACAUGGGUGCACAAAUAUAUCUUCAGGACACUGCUUUCAGUCUUUCUGGUACAUACCCAGAAGCGGGAUUGCUGGGUCAUAUGGUAAUUAUGAAGAACCACCAUACUGUUUUUCACAGCAACUAUACCAUUUUACAUUCCUACCAACAGUGCACAGGGUUCCUAUUUUCCCACAUCCUUGCCAACAUUUUUUUCCCUUCCCUGCCCUCCCUUCCUCUCCCUUCCCUUCCUCCCCACUUUCCUUCAUAGUAGUCAUCCUAAUGGGACUGAGGUGAUAUCCCAUUGUGGUUUUGAUUUGGGAACUGGGAUCUUACUUGUCAACCACAGAAGCUGCUAGUUCCUUAAACUAGCUAGUUUAAGGAUUUAUUAAGGGAUAUUAAAUAGUUUGGAGAAUCUCUGGGAGAGUCAGAGUCAGAUCUGGAGCCUACGCAGCCAGAAACAAUACCAAAACCACUAUGUGGGACUGCCUCAGCCAGACCUCAGUGCUGCUGCCACUGGUGCUGUAGAUGAGUGGACACUACACACAAGAUGCUCCACCAUUCCUGCCACUGAAGACCGGACUCCUCGUCACCAUCCAAGCCAGAAAAAAUGGAGUCAACACAGCACCUGCUUCCUCAUGCUGCUCUUUUUUUGACUGAGACUUGUGUGAGUACGCCUGCCUGGGAGAGCCUGCACUCUAGCUGCCAAGGUGCCGAGCAAGAGAGUUUGGGCUUCUGCCUUGGGGAGUCCAGAUUCACAAUGUGGGAAAUUACUCUGAUGUAGGAAGGGUUUUCAAAGACAGUCACAAAGCAUGAGAAAUACCUACUGUACUUUUCUACCCUAUUUCUAAAUAUAUAACUUUUUAUAUUAUAAAAAGUUUAUGAGUAUAUACAUUUAUAAAUAUGAAUAGGGUGAUAAUAGCUACCUCACUGACUUGUUUUAAAGAUGAAAUGAAAUCCCACAUGUAAAGUUUGUAACACAGUUUCUGGCACAUUGCAGAUGCCAAUGAUGUUAUCCUUGUUUCCCUCAAUAAAAUGUAAGCUGUGAGUUA
Orcinus orca (killer whale) is the source of this 2590-nucleotide long non-coding RNA. RefSeq lists it as uncharacterized. NCBI's taxonomy places the organism in Eukaryota, Metazoa, Chordata, Mammalia, Artiodactyla, Delphinidae. The record is from RefSeq and is a predicted model, not a curated record. The transcript is spliced from 2 exons.